UGCCACUUAUUGGGACUUUGGUGAUUUUAGCUGUAUGUUGAAUGCAUUCCUAACCACAUAUAGCUUUAUCACCAAAAACCUAAUGUGUGUGUA
Molecule: microRNA precursor, 93 nt
Filed under: Anopheles gambiae (African malaria mosquito)
Lineage: Eukaryota; Metazoa; Arthropoda; Insecta; Diptera; Culicidae
Also listed under: 1 other name
Description: microRNA aga-mir-9b precursor
Gene: aga-mir-9b
Source: miRBase by way of RNAcentral